RNAcentral lists this long non-coding RNA (1543 nucleotides) under Sus scrofa (pig). RNAcentral's name for it is "lncRNA (ENSSSCG00040073142.1, ENSSSCG00180014607.1)". Lineage: Eukaryota; Metazoa; Chordata; Mammalia; Artiodactyla; Suidae. The record is from RNAcentral.
UUUUUUCCAUUACAGCUGAUUUACGGUGUUCUGUCAAUUUUCUGCUGCACAGCAAGGUGACCCAGUCAUACGUACAUGUAUACAUUCUUUUUUCUCACAUUAUCAUGCUCCAUCACAAGUGACCAGACAUAUUUCCCAGUGCUAUUCAGCAGGAUCCCAUUGUUUAUCCAUUCCAAAGGCUAAAGUUUGCAUCUAUUAACCUCAAAAUCCCAGUCCCUCCUACUUCCUCCCUCUCCCUCUUGGCAACCACAAGUCUGUUCUCCAUGUCCAUGAUUUUCUUUUCUGAGAAAUGGUUCAUUUGUGCUGUAUAUUAGAUUCCAGAUAUAAGCAAUAUCAUGAUAUUUGUCUUUCUCCUUAUGACUUAUUUCACUCAGUAUGAGAGUUUCUAGUUCCAUCCAUGUGGCUAAAAAUGGCAUUAUUUUGUUCUUUUUUAUAGCUGAGUAGUAUUCCAUUGUGUAUAUAUAACACAUCUUCUUAAUCCAAUCAUCUGUCAAUGGACAUUUAGGUUGUUUCCAUGUCUUGGCUAUUGUGAAUAGUGCUGCAGUGAACAUGCGGGUGCAUGUGUUCUUUUUAACUAGAAUUUUGUCUGGAUAUAUGCCCAAGAGUGGGAUUACUGAAGUCGUAUGGUAGUUCUACAUAUAAUUUUCUAAUGUACCUCCAUACUGUUUUCCAUAGUGGUCGUGCCAAUUUAUAUUCCCACCAACAGUUCAGGAGGGUUCCCUUUUCUCCACACCCUCUCCAGCAUUUGUAAUUCGUGGACUUAUUAAUGAUGGUCAUUCUGACUGGCGUGAGGUGGUACCUCAUAGCAGUUUUGAUUUGCGUUUCUCUAAUAAUCAGUGAUGUUGAACAUUUUUUCAUGUUCUUGUUGGCCAUCUGUAUAUCUUUGGAGAAAUACCUAUUCAGGUCUUUUUCCCAUUUUUCAAUUGGAUCAUUGGCCUUUUUGCUGUUGAGUUGAAUAAAUUGUAUAUUUUAGAGAUUAACCCUUGUCAGUCGCAUCCUUUGAAACUAUUUUCUCCCAUUCUGUAAGUCGUCUUUUUGUUUUUUUAAUGGUUUCCUUUGCUAUGCAAAUCUUGUCUGUUUGAUUCAGUCCUACUGGUUUAUUUUUGCUUUUAUUUCUUUUGCCUUGGGAGACUGACCUGAGAAAAUGUAUUUUCUUUUUUUACAUUCCUCAUAUGAUAUUUAUCUUUGUAUGGCUUACUUUACUAACUGUAAUAUUCUCUGGGGCCAUCCAUGUUGUUGCAAGUAGCAUUAUUUCAUUCUUUCUGAUGGCUACUAUUCCGGUGUGUGUGUGUGUGUGUGUAUGUAUCUGUGCAUGCAUGUGUAGAUGUGUUGCAUUAGAUCAUGGAGAGCUAGCCGUCAUAACAAAAACUCCAAAAUAGUAUAAGUUCUGUUGACAUAACAGUAUUUGAUGCAGCUCAGAUCCUGCAUUGCUGUGGCUCUGGUGUAGGCCAACAGCUAUAGCUCCGAUUCAACCCCUAGCCUGGGAACCCCCAUGUGCCUUGGGAGCAGCCUAGGAAAUGGCAAGAAGACAAAAAAAAAAAAA